UGUUGAGUUUGAAUUGUUUGAGAGUCAACUAUAUUUAGCAAGUAGGUCCAAGUCUCAGUUAGAAGAGUAUCUAGAUGAAAAAUUAGUCAGUUGGAAGAAAAAUGAUCAUUUGAAUGUUCUCGAGUAUUGGAAAGGCGAAUGCGAGAAGCGUCCUCAAUUGUCGAUGAUGGCUCGAGAUAUAUUAAGUAUUCCUAUUACUUCGGUGGCCUCUGAAUCGGCUUUCAGCAUUGCGGGACGUGUGCUUGACAAGUAUCGAAAUCGUCUUCUUCCGGAGAAUGCUGAAGCUCAAAUUUGUACUGGUUCUUGGUUAGACGGUAUUCCUUCUCUAGCAGACAUUGAAGAAGGAAAUUUAUUAGUACAUGAUUUCAGUAAUCUAGAGGUUUCUGAAUCGGAAGGCGAAAGUGAUUAAGGGGAAAUAUUAAGGUCUCUAUGGUGAUUUCGGAUUCUAACCCUUGCUAUGAAGACGCACAUAUGAGGCUUGCUGCAAUACUUUUAAUGUUG
Molecule: long non-coding RNA, 501 nt
Organism: Asparagus officinalis (garden asparagus)
Lineage: Eukaryota; Viridiplantae; Streptophyta; Magnoliopsida; Asparagales; Asparagaceae
Exons: 3
Source: RefSeq, a predicted model, not a curated record